This 505-nucleotide ribosomal RNA is filed under the name uncultured bacterium. RNAcentral's name for it is "bacterial SSU rRNA". It matches the Rfam family "Bacterial small subunit ribosomal RNA", at positions 16 to 507 of the family's 1533-position model. The record is from RNAcentral.
AUCCUGGCUCAGGAUGAACGCUAGCUACAGGCUUAACACAUGCAAGUCGAGGGGAAACGAUAUUGGAAGCUUGCUUCUGAUAGGCGUCGACCGGCGCACGGGUGAGUAACGCGUAUCCCAACCUGCCCAUCACUUGGGGAUAACCUUGUGAAAGUAAGACUAAUACCCAAUGACGUCUCUAGAAGACAUCUGAAAGAGAUUAAAGAUUUAUCGGUGAUGGAUGGGGAUGCGUCUGAUUAGCUUGUUGGCGGGGUAACGGCCCACCAAGGCGACGAUCAGUAGGGGUUCUGAGAGGAAGGUCCCCCACAUUGGAACUGAGACACGGUCCAAACUCCUGCGGGAGGCAGCAGUGAGGAAUAUUGGUCAAUGGGCGAGAGCCUGAACCAGCCAAGUAGCGUGAAGGAUGACUGCCCUAUGGGUUGUAAACUUCUUUUAUAAAGGAAUAAAGUCGGGUAUGGAUACCCGUUUGCAUGUACUUUAUGAAUAAGGAUCGGCUAACUCCGUG